Molecule: long non-coding RNA, 1238 nt
Organism: Lactuca sativa (garden lettuce)
Lineage: Eukaryota; Viridiplantae; Streptophyta; Magnoliopsida; Asterales; Asteraceae
Source: RefSeq, a predicted model, not a curated record
AAAAUCCACUACUUGAAUGAAUUGUGAAAUUCACAUAGGAAAGAAUUUUCCUAAUUUAUCCAUAAAUUUUUUUUAUUUUACGCAAUCAUGAUUGAAGAGAUCGGCAUCGUAAAACUCUCGUAACCAAGAUAUUGAUAAAUCUUUUAAUCAUUAUCCAAAAUUUACCAUUAAGAUAAAAGGAGUUGUGUCAGUGAGACAUCACAUCAAGUACAAUAGUCAUCAGUCUGUCCCUGAACUAUGCACCUCACUCAGAUGUUUGUGUCUCUGCCACCCAAUUCGAAGGGGCCGGUCGCAAUUCCUUAAUCUUCGCACACCGGUGGCGAUGGUCACCGACAUUUGAUUAAUGAAGUUCCAGAAGCGGACAUGGUUAUUUUAAUUCGAUUCUUUCUAUUGCUUAUUACAAUCACAUAGAUGCACCAACAGAAGAGAGAUUAAGGUGGUGGGGUGUAGAGGUGGUGGAUUGUUGUUCACGACCUGAAUAUGGGAUAGUCAUAAUUUUUUGAGGAUUUGGUUUUGAUUCCUAUGGCCAACAUUCGCAAGUACUUUCAGCUUCCUUCUCUAUCUCUGUCUGCCUCACAUCCCCUCCAAUUUUGAAACUUCCCUAAUUUCCUCUCUAAUUUUGUCGAGAGAUUAAAGAAGUGCGAUUGACAUGAGAAAUUGAAGAUUUGAGUGGAUUUAGUUGGAGAAGUUGAGUAUAGGUUUGGGAAAUGGAAAGGCUUCACAAAGUUAUUGCUUUUAGAUGUGAGAGAUGCCUAUAAGGCGUUCGAUGGAAUUCCCUAGCCAAUUAAGGUAUGCUUAACAGAAUCACCAUUUGAAAUUGUGAGAUGCACAAGAUUAUGCUUCUAGUUUGGUAUUUUGUAAGAAUUUGAGAUAAGAAGGCUUCAUUUGUUGCUUACUGAGAUGGAAUCUGCUAUUGAUGUACCUUCAAACAUAGAAUACAGAAGAAAUCGUCUUGAUUGAAAAUGUGAAAGCAAGAUAUAUUUUUUCCAACUGAACUGAAAGCUAAAACCGUUUGACUGAUAUCAAAUUUAGACGGAGUUUGAUAUGGAUAGUAGGUAUGGAAGAUUAUGUAAUUUUGAUUUUUUGGGAUUCGUUAAAAUCCUAAGAGAUUUAAAAGUUUUUUGAUAUGGUAGAUAAGAUAUAUAAUAGAAAUUCAUAACCCUUAAUAGCAAUGUACUUACACUCUUCUUUUUUAUACAAAUAAUAGCAAUGUAUAGUCCAGGAUAGCAUUGUACUUA